AUACCUUUCUCGGCCUUUUGGCUAAGAUCAAGUGUAGUAUCUGUUCUUAUCAGUUUAAUAUCUGAUACGUGGGCCAUUGGUCCACAUGAUAUUAAAUUAAUUUUUUGAAGGGGAGGGCCCGCAACAGUAGCUGGCUACUGGGGUUCCUCGAGCGUCGCCCAUGCGUUGCACUACUGCACGGGCCUGGCGCACCCUAC
RNAcentral lists this small nuclear RNA (197 nucleotides) under Manihot esculenta (cassava). Its description in RNAcentral is "U2 spliceosomal RNA". It matches the Rfam family "U2 spliceosomal RNA". Rfam says of the family: U2 is a small nuclear RNA (snRNA) component of the spliceosome (involved in pre-mRNA splicing). The record is from Rfam by way of RNAcentral. Lineage: Eukaryota; Viridiplantae; Streptophyta; Magnoliopsida; Malpighiales; Euphorbiaceae.